This 495-nucleotide ribosomal RNA is filed under the name Diabrotica speciosa. RNAcentral's name for it is "partial 16S ribosomal RNA". The record is from RNAcentral. Lineage: Eukaryota; Metazoa; Arthropoda; Insecta; Coleoptera; Chrysomelidae.
GUCUUUAUGUUAUAAAUAUAAAGUCUCGCCUGCCCCCUGAAGUUUAAAUGGCCGCGGUAUAUUGACCGUGUUAAGGUAGCAUAAUCAUUAGUUUUUUUAUUGAAAGCUGGAAUGAAGGGUUGGAUGAAAAAAAAACUGUCUUUAUUUAAUUUUAAAAGAAUUUUAUUUUUAAGUUAAAAAGCUUAAAUUUUUUUAAAAGACGAGAAGACCCUAUAGAGUUUAAUAAUUUUAAAAAUAUAUUUUUUUAGAAUUUAAUUUAUUUAUAUUUUAAAUUUAUUUAAUUGGGGUGAUUGAAAAAUAAAUGUAACUUUUUUUAUAUUAUUAUAUUGAUUAAUAAAUGAUUGAUCCGAUAUUUUUGAUUAUAAGAUUAAAUUACCUUAGGGAUAACAGCGUAAUUUUAUUGGAGAGUUCAAAUUGAUAAUAAAGAUUGCGACCUCGAUGUUGGAUUAAAAUUUAUAAUUGGUGCAGAAGCUAUAUUAUUAAGUCUGUUCGACC